GACGAACGCUGGCGGCGUGCUUAACACAUGCAAGUCGAACGGAAAGGCUCCAGCUUGCUGGAGUACUCGAGUGGCGAACGGGUGAGUAACACGUGGGUAAUCUGCCCUGCACUCUGGGAUAAGCCUGGGAAACUGGGUCUAAUACUGGAUAUGACCUUUCUCCUUAUGGGGUUUGGUGGAAAGUUUUUCGGUGUAGGAUGAGCCCGCGGCCUAUCAGCUUGUUGGUGGGGUGAUGGCCUACCAAGGCGACGACGGGUAGCCGGCCUGAGAGGGUGAUCGGCCACAUUGGGACUGAGAUACGGCCCAGACUCCUACGGGAGGCAGCAGUGGGGAAUAUUGCACAAUGGGCGGAAGCCUGAUGCAGCGACGCCACGUGAGGGAUGACGGCCUUCGGGUUGUAAACCUCUUUCAGCAGGGACGAAGCGUAAGUGACGGUACCUGCAGAAGAAGCACCGGCUAACUAUGUG
Molecule: ribosomal RNA, 467 nt
Filed under: uncultured bacterium
Lineage: Bacteria
Description: partial 16S ribosomal RNA
Rfam family: Bacterial small subunit ribosomal RNA
Source: RNAcentral